GGUUGUAGUGUAUAUUUAACUCUAAGAACUACAGUAUUCAGUGAUAUUGUUGGCUUUUGUCUACCUCUACCCGUUUUUAUGACAGAUAAUGAAUUAAUGCCUUCCCAAAUCACAUACAUAAUAACUUAGGAAUUCCGUUUUUAAGGUCUUUCCUCUCCGUGAGGAAAGACCUUAUUGUUUUUCUAAUAAUUUUUUUUUCUUCCAUUUUUUUUGACGUGGCCUCUUCCCCUUUCUGUUGAAGUUAUCAAAACCAAAUAUGGACCAUCGAUAGACCUCAUCAUGAACUUUUGUAGGAUUUCAUCAACCCCUUUAGAAGUUACCUUCCUUUUAUUGAUUUUUUUCAACAUGGCCCCCUUUAAUGUUUUAAGAGAUAUCAUGACCUUAUAUGGACAAAAGGUAGCUAUCAUCAUGAUGUAUUACCAUAUGAGGCUGCAUAGGAUUUCAUCAUCCCCUUUGAGAGUUAAAUCUCCUUGUAGCAAUUUUUUUUAUUUGCGUUUUUCUUUAAAAGUAUUAGGGAUAGAAUAUAAUUGAAAAUAACAGCAUGUUAAAGAACAGAUGGCAAUGUGUAUAAACAUAAACAAUUAAUUUGUUACUUAUCCUUAUAAGGAGUACUUUUUCAAUCUUUUGAUGUUGAAUCUGUAAUAACUCCCUCCUAUUAUCUAGGGUUUUCUUGCAUC
Molecule: long non-coding RNA, 677 nt
Filed under: Mytilus galloprovincialis (Mediterranean mussel)
Lineage: Eukaryota; Metazoa; Mollusca; Bivalvia; Mytilida; Mytilidae
Source: RNAcentral